AGUUGCGGCCAUAUCCACUGGAAAGCACGAUUUCCCGUCCGAUCAAUCAUAGUUAAGCCAGUGAGAGCCUUCAUAAGUACUACGGUGGGAGACCACGUGGGAACAUANGGUGCUGCAAUUU
Nadsonia fulvescens var. elongata DSM 6958 is the source of this 121-nucleotide ribosomal RNA. The record is from Rfam. Lineage: Eukaryota; Fungi; Ascomycota; Dipodascomycetes; Dipodascales.